UGAGGAAUCUGUUCAUCGGCGGGGGAUAGCCGGCCCAACGGCCGGGUAAUACCGCGUACGUCGGCGGGAGCGCAUGCUCCUGCCGGGAAAGCAGCAAUGCACCGAUGGAGGAUCUCGCGGCCUAUCAGCUUGUUGGUGAGGUCACGGCUCACCAAGGCGACGACGGGUAGCUGGUCUGAGAGGAUGGCCAGCCACAUUGGAACUGAGACACGGUCCAGACUCCG
Molecule: ribosomal RNA, 224 nt
Filed under: uncultured bacterium
Lineage: Bacteria
Description: partial 16S ribosomal RNA
Rfam family: Bacterial small subunit ribosomal RNA
Source: RNAcentral